CAGGUGUCCAGCAAACACCAUUUGACUACCCAGAAAGGAAGCAUUAUCAUAGGCUCAGAGCAGCUUUUGGUAAUUUCUUUCCUCUCACACCAAAGCAUUGUGUGCGCACGUGUGUGUGUGUGUGUGUGUUUUAAUUUUUAUUUUAGAGACAGGGUUUUGCUGUGUUGCUCAGGCUUGUCUUGAACUUCUGGGCUCGUGUGCUGCGAUUACAGGGUGAGCCACUGCGCCUGAUCAAGGCAUCACCGUUGAACCUCCUAAGAGGAAAACAUAAGGCUGUGCAAUACCAGGAACUGGGAUUCUAGGUAAAAAGUUCUAGAAGGAAGCCUCGGUGCCAGAAUCCGCAAACACACAGAGCACUCAGUGGUGAGCAGCACCAGUGAUCCCAUCAGAAGCCUGCUUUUGUCCUUUAAGGUUGCCCCAGACACCAAGGCAUCAAAAGCCAGGGGAUCCAGAGAAAACACAGACAGCCAAGAGAGAAACUGCGGGAAAAGCCAAAAGGUUGAGAGCCACACCAUCUAGAAGCUUCCUGCCUGCGGUGCGGCACAGAAACAAGGAGAGUCAGCAAUUACCAGCCAGCCGAGGUCCUGGAAGCUGACGUAGAGCUCGUGCCGACGGCAGACCUGCCGGCCGUGGGAGCCGUGGACGUCAUCUGCAGGGACAGAAGGGGCAAGGUCUUUUCUGGGGUUCCUGCUGUGUGCAGCUACUAUGGGGUACCAGGGUGGGGGAUGCCCUGAUGAGCACAUUUGUCAAAUAAAUGAAUGACAGGAAACCAUUUGGUCUCAUAAAGCCCAUCCCUGGAACUCUGCUUGUACCAUGACCCAGCUCAGAAGCCUGCCAUGGCUCCCAAUGGCUAGAGUGACACUGUGCCCAGUCCUCCCCUGUCCUUCAGCCUAUGAGCGUCUUUAUGCUCCAGUAAACAGCCCAGCAGGACCCUCGG
This 937-nucleotide long non-coding RNA is filed under the name Pan troglodytes (chimpanzee). Its description in RNAcentral is "long non-coding RNA NONPTRT000978". Lineage: Eukaryota; Metazoa; Chordata; Mammalia; Primates; Hominidae. The record is from RNAcentral.